AAAAAAGCAGUGUCUUGCUGUGCCUUUGUGAGCUGGAUUCUCGUAAACUUCAGGAAUAUCAUUUCCAUUGUUAUUGGGUGAACCUCUGAAUCUGUUUUAGUGACUGAAGGUUCAGUAAAUGAUGGAACAUUU
This is a small nucleolar RNA of Cornus florida, 132 nucleotides long. RefSeq annotates it as small nucleolar RNA snoR74. NCBI's taxonomy places the organism in Eukaryota, Viridiplantae, Streptophyta, Magnoliopsida, Cornales, Cornaceae. The transcript has a single exon. The record is from RefSeq and is a predicted model, not a curated record.